AUUAACGCUGGCGGCAGGCUUAACACAUGCAAGUCGAACGCCCCGCAAGGGGAGUGGCAGACGGGUGAGUAACGCGUGGGAAUAUACCCUUCGGUUCGGAAUAACUCAGGGAAACUUGAGCUAAUACCGGAUACGGCCGAGAGGCGAAAGAUUUAUCGCCGAAGGAUUAGCCCGCGUUGGAUUAGCUAGUUGGUGGGGUAAAGGCCUACCAAGGCGACGAUCCAUAGCUGGUCUGAGAGGAUGAUCAGCCACACUGGGACUGAGACACGGCCCAGACUCCUACGGGAGGCAGCAGUGGGGAAUCUUGGACAAUGGGCGAAAGCCUGAUCCAGCCAUGCCGCGUGAGUGAAGAAGGCCUUAGGGUUGUAAAGCUCUUUCGGCGGGGAAGAUAAUGACGGUACCCGCAGAAGAAGCCCCGGCUAACUCCGU
RNAcentral lists this ribosomal RNA (429 nucleotides) under uncultured bacterium. RNAcentral describes it as "bacterial SSU rRNA". It matches the Rfam family "Bacterial small subunit ribosomal RNA", at positions 29 to 506 of the family's 1533-position model. The record is from RNAcentral.